GAUGAACGCUGCGGCGUGCCUAAUCCAUGCAAGUCGAGCGAACAGACGAGGAGCUUGCUCCUCUGACGUUAGCGGCGGACGGGUGAGUAACACGUGGAUAACCUACCUAUAAGACUGGGAUAACUUCGGGAAACCGGAGCUAAUACCGGAUAAUAUAUUGAACCGCAUGGUUCAAUAGUGAAAGACGGUUUUGCUGUCACUUAUAGAUGGAUCCGCGCCGCAUUAGCUAGUUGGUAAGGUAACGGCUUACCAAGGCGACGAUGCGUAGCCGACCUGAGAGGGUGAUCGGCCACACUGGAACUGAGACACGGUCCAGACUCCUACGGGAGGCAGCAGUAGGGAAUCUUCCGCAAUGGGCGAAAGCCUGACGGAGCAACGCCGCGUGAGUGAUGAAGGUCUUCGGAUCGUAAAACUCUGUUAUUAGGGAAGAACAAAUGUGUAAGUAACUAUGCACGUCUUGACGGUACCUAAUCAGAAAGCCACGGCUAACUACGUG
This 496-nucleotide ribosomal RNA is filed under the name uncultured bacterium. RNAcentral's name for it is "partial 16S ribosomal RNA". It matches the Rfam family "Bacterial small subunit ribosomal RNA", at positions 28 to 507 of the family's 1533-position model. The record is from RNAcentral.